This 458-nucleotide ribosomal RNA is filed under the name uncultured bacterium. RNAcentral's name for it is "partial 16S ribosomal RNA". It matches the Rfam family "Bacterial small subunit ribosomal RNA", at positions 29 to 507 of the family's 1533-position model. The record is from RNAcentral.
AACGAACGCUGGCGGCAUGCCUAACACAUGCCAGUCGAACGAGACCUUCGGGUCUAGUGGCGCACGGGUGCGUAACACGUGGGAAUCUGCCCUUUGCUUCGGAAUAACAGUUGGAAAUGACUGCUAAUACCGGAUGAUGUCGAAAGACCAAAGAUUUAUCGGCCAAGGAUGAGCCCGCGUAGGAUUAGGUAGUUGGUGGGGUAAAGGCCUACCAAGCCGACGAUCCUUAGCUGGUCUGAGAGGAUGAUCAGCCACACUGGGACUGAGACACGGCCCAGAAGCCGAAGGGAGGCAGAAGUGGGGAAUAUUGGACAAUGGGCGCAAGCGUGAUAAAGCCAUAACGCGUGGGUGAAGAAGGCCUUCGGGUUGUAAAGCACUUUUGUUGGGAAAGAAAAGCAGAAGGUGAAUACCCCGCUGUUAUGACGGUACCCAAAGAAUAAGAACCGGCUAAAUUCGUG